AUCCAACUGACGAGUCCUAAAUGAGACGAAACACACGUUCUACAU
RNAcentral lists this non-coding RNA (45 nucleotides) under Schistosoma margrebowiei. Lineage: Eukaryota; Metazoa; Platyhelminthes; Trematoda; Strigeidida; Schistosomatidae. The record is from RNAcentral.